This 161-nucleotide ribosomal RNA is filed under the name uncultured bacterium. Its description in RNAcentral is "partial 16S rRNA". It matches the Rfam family "Bacterial small subunit ribosomal RNA", at positions 355 to 508 of the family's 1533-position model. The record is from RNAcentral.
UAGGGAAUCUUCCACAAUGGACGCAAGUCUGAUGGAGCAACGCCGCGUGAGUGAAGAAGGGUUUCGGCUCGUAAAGCUCUGUUGUUAAAGAAGAACGUGGGUAAGAGUAACUGUUUACCCAGUGACGGUAUUUAACCAGAAAGCCACGGCUAACUACGUCA